CAGUCGCCGCGGUAAUACGUAGGGUGCAAGCGUUAAUCGGAAUUACUGGGCGUAAAGCGUGCGCAGGCGGUUAUAUAAGACAGAUGUGAAAUCCCCGGGCUCAACCUGGGAACUGCAUUUGUGACUGUAUAGCUAGAGUACGGCAGAGGGGGAUGGAAUUCCGCGUGUAGCAGUGAAAUGCGUUGAGAUCGGAAAGAACACCAACGGCGAAAGCACUCUGCUGGGCCGACACUGACACUGAGAGACGAAAGCUAGGGGAGCAAAUGGGAUUAGAUACCCCUGUAGUCCCUGUCUCUUAUAC
Molecule: ribosomal RNA, 301 nt
Filed under: uncultured bacterium
Lineage: Bacteria
Description: partial 16S ribosomal RNA
Rfam family: Bacterial small subunit ribosomal RNA
Source: RNAcentral